CGUUAGCGGCGGACGGGUGAGUAACACGUGGGUAACCUACCUAUAAGACUGGGAUAACUUCGGGAAACUGGAGCUAAUACCGGAUAAUAUUUCGAACCGCAUGGUUCGAUAGUGAAAGAUGGUUUUGCUAUCACUUAUAGAUGGACCCGCGCCGUAUUAGCUAGUUGGUAAGGUAACGGCUUACCAAGGCGACGAUACGUAGCCGACCUGAGAGGGUGAUCGGCCACACUGGAACUGAGACACGGUCCAGACUCCUACGGGAGGCAGCAGUA
RNAcentral lists this ribosomal RNA (272 nucleotides) under uncultured Staphylococcus sp. Its description in RNAcentral is "partial 16S ribosomal RNA". It matches the Rfam family "Bacterial small subunit ribosomal RNA", at positions 90 to 355 of the family's 1533-position model. The record is from RNAcentral. Lineage: Bacteria; Bacillati; Bacillota; Bacilli; Caryophanales; Staphylococcaceae.